This 2921-nucleotide ribosomal RNA is filed under the name Staphylococcus aureus. Its description in RNAcentral is "bacterial LSU rRNA". It matches the Rfam family "Bacterial large subunit ribosomal RNA". The record is from RNAcentral. Lineage: Bacteria; Bacillati; Bacillota; Bacilli; Caryophanales; Staphylococcaceae.
UUAAGUUAUUAAGGGCGCACGGUGGAUGCCUUGGCACUAGAAGCCGAUGAAGGACGUUACUAACGACGAUAUGCUUUGGGGAGCUGUAAGUAAGCUUUGAUCCAGAGAUUUCCGAAUGGGGAAACCCAGCAUGAGUUAUGUCAUGUUAUCGAUAUGUGAAUACAUAGCAUAUCAGAAGGCACACCCGGAGAACUGAAACAUCUUAGUACCCGGAGGAAGAGAAAGAAAAUUCGAUUCCCUUAGUAGCGGCGAGCGAAACGGGAAGAGCCCAAACCAACAAGCUUGCUUGUUGGGGUUGUAGGACACUUUAUACGGAGUUACAAAGGACGACAUUAGACGAAUCAUCUGGAAAGAUGAAUCAAAGAAGGUAAUAAUCCUGUAGUCGAAAAUGUUGUCUCUCUUGAGUGGAUCCUGAGUACGACGGAGCACGUGAAAUUCCGUCGGAAUCUGGGAGGACCAUCUCCUAAGGCUAAAUACUCUCUAGUGACCGAUAGUGAACCAGUACCGUGAGGGAAAGGUGAAAAGCACCCCGGAAGGGGAGUGAAAUAGAACCUGAAACCGUGUGCUUACAAGUAGUCAGAGCCCGUUAAUGGGUGAUGGCGUGCCUUUUGUAGAAUGAACCGGCGAGUUACGAUUUGAUGCAAGGUUAAGCAGUAAAUGUGGAGCCGCAGCGAAAGCGAGUCUGAAUAGGGCGUUUAGUAUUUGGUCGUAGACCCGAAACCAGGUGAUCUACCCUUGGUCAGGUUGAAGUUCAGGUAACACUGAAUGGAGGACCGAACCGACUUACGUUGAAAAGUGAGCGGAUGAACUGAGGGUAGCGGAGAAAUUCCAAUCGAACCUGGAGAUAGCUGGUUCUCUCCGAAAUAGCUUUAGGGCUAGCCUCAAGUGAUGAUUAUUGGAGGUAGAGCACUGUUUGGACGAGGGGCCCCUCUCGGGUUACCGAAUUCAGACAAACUCCGAAUGCCAAUUAAUUUAACUUGGGAGUCAGAACAUGGGUGAUAAGGUCCGUGUUCGAAAGGGAAACAGCCCAGACCACCAGCUAAGGUCCCAAAAUAUAUGUUAAGUGGAAAAGGAUGUGGCGUUGCCCAGACAACUAGGAUGUUGGCUUAGAAGCAGCCAUCAUUUAAAGAGUGCGUAAUAGCUCACUAGUCGAGUGACACUGCGCCGAAAAUGUACCGGGGCUAAACAUAUUACCGAAGCUGUGGAUUGUCCUUUGGACAAUGGUAGGAGAGCGUUCUAAGGGCGUUGAAGCAUGAUCGUAAGGACAUGUGGAGCGCUUAGAAGUGAGAAUGCCGGUGUGAGUAGCGAAAGACGGGUGAGAAUCCCGUCCACCGAUUGACUAAGGUUUCCAGAGGAAGGCUCGUCCGCUCUGGGUUAGUCGGGUCCUAAGCUGAGGCCGACAGGCGUAGGCGAUGGAUAACAGGUUGAUAUUCCUGUACCACCUAUAAUCGUUUUAAUCGAUGGGGGGACGCAGUAGGAUAGGCGAAGCGUGCGAUUGGAUUGCACGUCUAAGCAGUAAGGCUGAGUAUUAGGCAAAUCCGGUACUCGUUAAGGCUGAGCUGUGAUGGGGAGAAGACAUUGUGUCUUCGAGUCGUUGAUUUCACACUGCCGAGAAAAGCCUCUAGAUAGAAAAUAGGUGCCCGUACCGCAAACCGACACAGGUAGUCAAGAUGAGAAUUCUAAGGUGAGCGAGCGAACUCUCGUUAAGGAACUCGGCAAAAUGACCCCGUAACUUCGGGAGAAGGGGUGCUCUUUAGGGUUAACGCCCAGAAGAGCCGCAGUGAAUAGGCCCAAGCGACUGUUUAUCAAAAACACAGGUCUCUGCUAAACCGUAAGGUGAUGUAUAGGGGCUGACGCCUGCCCGGUGCUGGAAGGUUAAGAGGAGUGGUUAGCUUCUGCGAAGCUACGAAUCGAAGCCCCAGUAAACGGCGGCCGUAACUAUAACGGUCCUAAGGUAGCGAAAUUCCUUGUCGGGUAAGUUCCGACCCGCACGAAAGGCGUAACGAUUUGGGCACUGUCUCAACGAGAGACUCGGUGAAAUCAUAGUACCUGUGAAGAUGCAGGUUACCCGCGACAGGACGGAAAGACCCCGUGGAGCUUUACUGUAGCCUGAUAUUGAAAUUCGGCACAGCUUGUACAGGAUAGGUAGGAGCCUUUGAAACGUGAGCGCUAGCUUACGUGGAGGCGCUGGUGGGAUACUACCCUAGCUGUGUUGGCUUUCUAACCCGCACCACUUAUCGUGGUGGGAGACAGUGUCAGGCGGGCAGUUUGACUGGGGCGGUCGCCUCCUAAAAGGUAACGGAGGCGCUCAAAGGUUCCCUCAGAAUGGUUGGAAAUCAUUCAUAGAGUGUAAAGGCAUAAGGGAGCUUGACUGCGAGACCUACAAGUCGAGCAGGGUCGAAAGACGGACUUAGUGAUCCGGUGGUUCCGCAUGGAAGGGCCAUCGCUCAACGGAUAAAAGCUACCCCGGGGAUAACAGGCUUAUCUCCCCCAAGAGUUCACAUCGACGGGGAGGUUUGGCACCUCGAUGUCGGCUCAUCGCAUCCUGGGGCUGUAGUCGGUCCCAAGGGUUGGGCUGUUCGCCCAUUAAAGCGGUACGCGAGCUGGGUUCAGAACGUCGUGAGACAGUUCGGUCCCUAUCCGUCGUGGGCGUAGGAAAUUUGAGAGGAGCUGUCCUUAGUACGAGAGGACCGGGAUGGACAUACCUCUGGUGUACCAGUUGUCGUGCCAACGGCAUAGCUGGGUAGCUAUGUGUGGACGGGAUAAGUGCUGAAAGCAUCUAAGCAUGAAGCCCCCCUCAAGAUGAGAUUUCCCAACUUCGGUUAUAAGAUCCCUCAAAGAUGAUGAGGUUAAUAGGUUCGAGGUGGAAGCAUGGUGACAUGUGGAGCUGACGAAUACUAAUCGAUCGAAGACUUAAUCAA